UUGGCUAAGACCGUUAGCUGGUUUGGUUAGCAGGACAUUUCCAGGGUAUCACAGUAUACUGAAAUAUUACAAGAAAGGUCCAUAAAUGCUGUACAUCCUCCAAUCUGUAAAUUGUUCAGCAACAGGAAGACAGUGAAAGAUAGACGGCAACUCACCAAGAAGAAUAUGUCAGUGAUUUCCCCUAAGAUGUGAUUGUUCCACAGAAGCAUUCUUCAGGGGAGUGGGUCUGUGCAGGCAGUAAGUGGGAAGAUCUUCACUUAGUGUGCCGUCCUUCCUCAGCUUCAAGAGAAUCCACUUGAAGGAGAAGUCCCAUAUAUUAUGUCCAAUGCUGUGAAGCAUCUUUUGGUGCCUUCAUUUCAUCCAACACCAAAAUCCUCAAUGGUGAAGAAAUCUAUAAAUGUAGUAUUGACCUUGAGAAAAAGUUGAGCACAACUGCGCCCUCAUGCAGCACUGGAGAAACCUAUACAUGUAAAGAAGGACAGUUUUCAUUUGACUCUCAGAGCUGAUUGUAUAUUGGCAAACAUAUUUUUCUGCCAUUGCUUAGGGAUAAGAAAUCUAACAGAAACAUCAAAUAAAAUACUGAAGAGAGAA
This 591-nucleotide long non-coding RNA is filed under the name Homo sapiens (human). RNAcentral describes it as "HSALNT0016064". The record is from RNAcentral. Lineage: Eukaryota; Metazoa; Chordata; Mammalia; Primates; Hominidae.